UGUUGAAGGGAAACCUUUGUGCUUGAACAAUAAUCUAGUCGUUAGUCUGUCUGACUUGUAUUUACUUGAAUAUGAAGUCUUGGAAUGUCCAAUGUAGCUGUAGUACCGGGGACUAGUCUUAUCAAGUGAUCAAGAGACUUCUGAUCACUUGACUAGACUAAGGGAAUAUGCAUAUGUCAAAGGAUUUAGUUGAUCAAAGAAGACUUUGAUCAACUUAAUCAAAAAGGGGAAAAUUCAAUUGUAACUCAAACACCUAAAUUCUAAGGAAAAUCAAAGUAACAACAGGUUUCAAUGUCUAAAGUUAACCUAAA
RNAcentral lists this long non-coding RNA (311 nucleotides) under Lathyrus oleraceus (garden pea). Its description in RNAcentral is "Pisum sativum (pea) long non-coding RNA (PSAT_LNC027542)". The record is from RNAcentral. Lineage: Eukaryota; Viridiplantae; Streptophyta; Magnoliopsida; Fabales; Fabaceae.